Phyllostomus discolor (pale spear-nosed bat) is the source of this 589-nucleotide long non-coding RNA. RefSeq lists it as uncharacterized. The transcript has 2 exons. The record is from RefSeq and is a predicted model, not a curated record. Lineage: Eukaryota; Metazoa; Chordata; Mammalia; Chiroptera; Phyllostomidae.
AAACAGGCAGUGUAGCUUCUCUCUCCAGAGGGGAACGCCCCAACUCUUGCCUUGACAAGAUUUUAUUGGAUUCAAUUUGCACAGGAAUAAAGCUCAUCAAUCAUUGUCAGGCAGAAAUGAUUAAACAAUAGAUAACAUUCAAAGAAUUCUGAGGGUUUAUUCUGAGUCAGAGUCUAUUAGCUAAAGUGCUAUAAAACUUUGGAAAACAAACUCAUUUCCUCCUCAGACCCUUAUCAUUUAAUUAAGAACAUUCUUAGCAAAGCAGUUUUCACAGGACUUUAUAUAUUCUUUAUCAGGCCCAAUUACCCGGGGAGCCCACCCCUUCCAGCACAGGGCUAUACUGCCCUCUGUCAUUGUUUCAGGCUUAAGUCAGGCAGGGGAAGUAACGCAGCCAAGAGAUUAGGAGACUACUCCCAGGCAGAAGGAGGACUCAGGCUUUGUCAAAGCUGAGGGGCGAGGACCCAUCACCCCCUUUUGCUGUAUCCCCCCAAGUCCUUCCCUGAGGGCCUCCACAUGAUCAUGCCUGCACUGGGUCAUUCCCCCCUUAGGAAAUCUUACCUAUCAUUGGCUAACUGAUCAAGCAUUGGGG